MicroRNA precursor from Chlorocebus sabaeus (green monkey), 111 nucleotides. NCBI's taxonomy places the organism in Eukaryota, Metazoa, Chordata, Mammalia, Primates, Cercopithecidae. The record is from Ensembl.
GGCCAUAGGACUUGGUUUUGCCAGUGUGCCAAUGCCUAUCAAAUAUCUACCUGUCAUGUUUGUCAUAGGACAGGUAGAUAUUUGAUAGGCAUUGGCACGUUGGGGUUGGCC